This 3336-nucleotide long non-coding RNA is filed under the name Fragaria vesca (wild strawberry). RNAcentral describes it as "long non-coding RNA (FVES_LNC003240)". The record is from RNAcentral. Lineage: Eukaryota; Viridiplantae; Streptophyta; Magnoliopsida; Rosales; Rosaceae.
CUAUUUUGAACAUAUACACAAAAAUAUAUAAAAAUAUAAGAUUUUGUUCUAAGAUAUUCUGUAUCUUUCUAGAUAUUCUUUAUGUCUGUCUUGACCUUAUACCAAUAAGAUAUGUAGUUAGACUAGAUUUGUGUAUUCAUAUCCUUACCAUAUUGGUAUUUUGUAAUUCCUUAUAUAAAGGGCUUAUAUCAAUGAAUAAGAUGAUGAUUCUCUUGCUAUCUCUUUGUCUCUACACUUUAUUCUUCAUCAUGUUAUCAUGCACUUUGUUCUAAGUUUAUAACUAAUAGCCCAUCAUUUUUUUCCCAAACUCUAAAAACCAAAACCGGAGGUUCUGGAUUGUGAUUAUCGUUGUGGGACGCCUCAAUGUCAAAUCCAAUCUAUAUAGAGAUCUCUACAAGUAUUACACUAGUGUACAUGAGGACGUGGGAUAAUGAGUCUACUAUCGAACCACCAUUCGUUGAUGGAUAUCAACUUAGUUGAUUGACCUAAUGGAAAGAUGCGAUCCAGCAUUAACAAAGAGAUAGGUCCUUGGGUAGGUGAUGCCGACACCGCAAGCUAAACCCUAUCAACUAUGUCUUUGUUAGAUAGCGUAGUGAGAACAAGAGUUUAGACUCACCUUAUGGCGCAAGGUCUUUCACUAACACGCACUGAGAUCGACUACUAUGAGAUAUUCUCUCGUAAUUAAUGGAUGUCAUUGAACUCCAUUACUUUGUCAAUUUGGUAGUUUCCAAAUAACUGAACAUGCAGCUUAUAAAUGUGGUCAUAAAAACAUCUCUACGGGAUCAGAGAUAUGCAUGAAUGUCUUGAAUAGACUUCAUUCAUCCGAAUCAAGUGGCUCCAGACCACAGGAGCACGCGUUUGGUAAAGGUAUUAAAACGCACAUGGACUCUACUUGAUUUGAAAGGGAUAUGGUGAAUUAUGCUUUUGCGUGUUCAUUCCGGAUUUACAUGGAUUCUUGAUGCCAAUAUGUAUCAACAUCCGAAGAAAAAGAUCUUGGGAAGACACGGUCUCGAUAAGGCACUCGAUGACUGUAUUGAUGAUGAUUUUCCAUCAAUCGACUUAGGCGCUCUAUAACUAGUGAGGCCUACAUAUACUCCCAUGAUUAGUCAAAGUCUAAAGAGAGAUCCGUUGUUUUGUCUAAAGCAAAAUGACAAAUAUGUGUUAAGAGAUGGAGUUAUCAUCUAAGUACAAUAAGACGCAUUAAUGUACUCAACACAAUACGAAAGACUUGACAUCUCAUUCGCUAUGAAAAGUUGUAAAUCUAAGUGUAGCUAUGCGCCCACGCAAUGCCAAUGUAAUGGCAGUAACUCCUUUUUCAAUACUUAAUGGUAUGAAAUGUCGAGGCUUAUUCUAUCCCUACAUAAGAAAGACACAUCAAAAGUGAAAUUAGAAUCUGCCAAGUUUUGUAGGUCAACUUCCACAGGACCUACAGGAAACCUCACUCACUGGAAAAUGGUGAAACUGGUACCAUUGGAAAUAUCUAUGUGUCUACUUUCCAGAGACACCAACCAUUUGAUCAUACCUAUCAUAUUGAGUGAGUUAUGGCCGUUUUCGUAAAGUAGGACGAAUCUGUCCGAAAAUCUGAUUUUGGCAAAACAGUCAACUUCAACGGGACUUUGUGAAUAGCUCCUGACGAACCAGAACGUGUGUAAUAUACGGUUAGAAAGCUAAAUGAGUCUAGUUUCCAAAACCGUUUACGGUUCAUUCAUAUGUAUUUCUUAGAGGAAGUUAUGACUGUUCUAGUAACUGAAGGUCAUGCUGCGCGAAAAUCUGAUUUCCUGCACGAACUUAUGUUUUGAGUUCACAAGCGGCCUUCUCCUCAAGAUCUAAGUGUAAAAGAUCAUUUGAGGACAAUACGGCAUGAUUUAGUUAAUCAUUGCCCAAUGCCACAUUUGAAGACAUGUUAAAGAGCAUUGACAUGCUAAGUUGUUGAAACUUCUGUGAUUAGUAAAAAUCAGGAAGAGCCUUAUGAUUGAUGUAAAGAUCAGGGGGAGGUGUAAACUUCAGAGGGAGUCUAACACAUACAUACAUGUUACUAUCAAAUGUGAAGGGUGCGUUGUACUCUUUUUCUCCUACGAUCAAGGUUCAGUUUUUCUCCCACGAUCAAGGUUCAGUUUUUCUCCCACAGGGUUUUUGUGACUUGACGAGGUUUUUGACGAGGCAACAGAUCAGCACCAUCGGCAUAUCAGCGCGCGGCACAAAGGGGAGUGUUCUAGGAUAUUCCAUAUCUUUCUAGAUAUUCUUUAUGUGUGUCUUGGCCUUAUGCCAAUAGGAUAUGUAGUUAGACUAGAUCUAUGUAUUCAUAUCCUUACCAUAUUACCAUAUUGGUAUUGUGUAAUUCCUUAUAUAAAGGGCUCAUAUCAAUGAAUAAGAUGAUGAUUCUCUUGCUAUCUCUUUGUCUAUACACUUUAUACUUCAUCAAAAAUAAAGUUUUUAUGACCGGAUUCUCAAGACCAAUGACGUUGACCAGACUCCGGUAACCUUUGACCGAGCUCCGGGGAUCAUUGACUGGACUCCGGGGGACAAUGACGGGACUCCGGCGAUCGUUGACCGAGCUUCUGAGACCAUUGACGGGACUUCGGGGGCCGUUGUGCUUUAGUUACUUAUAACAGGUCCUUAUUGAGGGCAAUAUGCCCACCUAUUGGGGUCAGUAGGACCUCCUAUUAGGGGCAGUAGGGGCAGUAUGACCUCCUAUUGGAAUCAGUAAGACCUCCUACUAGGGGCAGUAGAACCCUUGAACUUAAGAUAUAAGGUAUACAUGUAUCAAGAAAUGUAUUGAAAUGAAAGAAGUGGAGUCUCUAUAAUAUUCUAUAAGAUGUAAGACUGAGAAAAUAACUUAUAUCCAAAUCUACACCAAAAGAAUGAAAGCAAGUGACUCUUGAUGCCCUAAUUGAAGGACAAUAUGACAUACACAAAUAGCAUAAUAUUCCUUUACUAGGACAUUCUACUGAGGGCAAUAGGACCACCUAUUGGGGGCAGUAAGACCUCCUACUGGGGGCAGUAGGAGGUUCGUAGGGGGGGUCUAUUGGGGGCAGUAAGGGGUUCAUCGAGGGGUCUAUUGAGGGCAGUAGGGGGUUCAUCGGGAGGUCUAUUGGGGGCAAUAGGGGUCUAUUAAGAGCAAUAAGAGAUUCGUUACAGGUCUAUUAGGAGCAGUAUGGGGUUUGUCGGGGGUCUAUUGGGGGCAGUAGGAGGUCUAUUGGAGACAGUAGAGGGUCUAUCAAGGGCAGUAAACAUUUAUUCCCCUCAAUAGAUCUCAUCCCAACAUGAAAAUUAUAUUAUAAUAGAGCCAAGUCAUACAAAAAUACAAAAGACCUACCUUAAUCACUGUACAAAAUU